This 203-nucleotide ribosomal RNA is filed under the name uncultured bacterium. Its description in RNAcentral is "partial 16S ribosomal RNA". It matches the Rfam family "Bacterial small subunit ribosomal RNA", at positions 1297 to 1500 of the family's 1533-position model. The record is from RNAcentral.
AUUGCAGUCUGCAACUCGACUGCAUGAAGUCGGAAUCGCUAGUAAUCGCGGAUCAGCAUGCCGCGGUGAAUACGUUCCCGGGCCUUGUACACACCGCCCGUCACACCAUGAGAGUCGGGAACACCCGAAGUCCGUAGCCUAACCGCAAGGGGGCGCGGCCGAAGGUGGGUUCGAUAAUUGGGGUGAAGUCGUAACAAGGUAAC